RNAcentral lists this transfer RNA (71 nucleotides) under Eragrostis curvula (weeping love grass). RNAcentral's name for it is "tRNA tRNA-Asp". It matches the Rfam family "tRNA". From Rfam's summary of the family: Transfer RNA (tRNA) molecules are approximately 80 nucleotides in length. Their secondary structure includes four short double-helical elements and three loops (D, anti-codon, and T loops). The record is from Rfam by way of RNAcentral. Lineage: Eukaryota; Viridiplantae; Streptophyta; Magnoliopsida; Poales; Poaceae.
GUCGUUGUAGUAUAGUGGUGAGUAUUCCCGCCUGUCACGCGGGUGACCCGGAUCGAUCCCCGGCAACGGCG